This 446-nucleotide ribosomal RNA is filed under the name uncultured bacterium. RNAcentral describes it as "partial 16S ribosomal RNA". It matches the Rfam family "Bacterial small subunit ribosomal RNA", at positions 338 to 795 of the family's 1533-position model. The record is from RNAcentral.
CCUACGGGUGGCAGCAGUCGAGAAUCAUUCACAAUGGGGGAAACCCUGAUGGUGCGACGCCGCGUGGGGGAAUGAAGGUCUUCGGAUUGUAAACCCCUUUCAUGUGGGAGCAAAUUAAAAAGAUAGUACCACAAGAGGAAGAGCCGACUAACUCUGUGCCAGCAGCCGCGGUAAUACAGAGGUCUCAAGCGUUGUGCGGAAUCACUGGGGGUAAAGCGUGCGUAGGCUGUUUCGUAAGUCGCGUGUGAAUGGCGCGGGCUCAACCCGCGGACGGCACAUGAUACUGGGAGACUAGAGUACAGGAGGGGGAAGCGGAAUUCGCGGUGUAGCAGUGAAAUGCGUAGAUAUCGAGAAGAACACUGGUGGCGAAGGCGGGUUCCUGGACAUUAACUGACGCUGAGGCACGAAGGCGAGGGGAGCGAAAGGGAUUAGAUACCCCUGUAGUC